CGUAUAGCUAACAAUAAGCUGUUGAAAACACAUGAAAUAUUUGUAUUCUCUUACUAACAAAGGCACCCGAAUUAUUCGUUACACUAUUUCUGAUAAUUUUUUUAUUGACAACACGACUAAAUAAGCAACAACCACAUACAGUAGGAAGUUCUAAACACAGGCUAGGAACAGGACUCUAAAUUUCGCCGUCUAGACUAUGUAACCACCAUGUUAUUUAUAACCCUUUGUAUCCUUGCCUACAAAAUUAUCAUAAGAAUGAGAAAAAUACUGGAGCUUCUCUUUCAUUAGUCAGAAAUUCUGAUCUCAACUCCCAGUAGGUCCUUCACUUGCUCAUACGCCACGAAAGCAAUAGAUAUUGAAGGAACAACCUUCACUGAAUUGGGCACUAAACCCUUGUACAAGGCUCUGACACCCUCAUACUUCACAGUUUUCCUGAAAGCAUCAAUCAUUCCAGUAUAUUCGAGAGGAGCCUUGCUCCUCCCAUCACCAGUAACAAUAGAUGCAGCAUGACUCCAUCCCACCAUCUGCAUCCUUCUACGAAUAACAUCAAGAGGGUAGGCAACCGUUUGUCCAACUGUUCCUGCAGCAGCUCCACAUGCCAGCCUUGUAACAACCCCAAGCUCAGAAUUAUCAACAAGACCAAAUGGUUUUGUUUUGACCAACCAGUCUUUUAAAGAUUCAUAUACAGCAAAAUUAAGCCCCACAUAUGGAAUAACUCCUAUGACAGAAGGAGUCCAUCCUUUGUACAAAGCUCGUGGACCCUCCUCGCGAAGCACAGUUGACAGUGCAUGAAACAUUCCUCUGUAUUGAUAAGGAGAGUUCUCAGUCUGCACAGUCAGUCUUCCUCGCACCAUAUCCAUUGGGUAAGUUGCAGACAUG
Molecule: unclassified non-coding RNA, 879 nt
Filed under: Hevea brasiliensis (rubber tree)
Lineage: Eukaryota; Viridiplantae; Streptophyta; Magnoliopsida; Malpighiales; Euphorbiaceae
Source: RNAcentral